AUGGCCCUGAAUCAAGGCCAGCAGCUUCCUGAUGCUAUUGGUUUCAAACAGGAGCCUAAACAGAUAUCUUUCUAUGGUCUGUUGGCCAUUUCAGAACUUGGGCAGUGAAAUGAUCAAUUCAUUAGAAAGAAAUAGCU
Cavia aperea (Brazilian guinea pig) is the source of this 137-nucleotide small nucleolar RNA. Lineage: Eukaryota; Metazoa; Chordata; Mammalia; Rodentia; Caviidae. The record is from Ensembl.